This 166-nucleotide unclassified non-coding RNA is filed under the name uncultured Sordariomycetes. RNAcentral's name for it is "sequence contains ITS1". The record is from RNAcentral. Lineage: Eukaryota; Fungi; Ascomycota; Sordariomycetes.
CAGAGUUGCAAAACUCCCAAACCCAUUGCGAAUCUUACCUGUUGUUUAGUUGCUUCGGCAGGCGGCCCCAGGGCGGGGCCAUAGCCUUUGCUGGCGCCUGCCGGAGGACCAAAAACUCUUGUAUUUGUUAUUACCCUCUGAGUCUUCUGAAAGACAAAAUAAGUCA